Molecule: RNA transcript, 1976 nt
Organism: Macaca mulatta (Rhesus monkey)
Lineage: Eukaryota; Metazoa; Chordata; Mammalia; Primates; Cercopithecidae
Gene name: BTB/POZ domain-containing protein 6-like
Source: RefSeq, a predicted model, not a curated record
AUGCUGCUGCCCCUGGCCUGCCUUCACCGCCGCGUCGCUCAGCGCCCGACCUCCCUGCUUUUGCUUGCAGAACAGCUCCCGAGGCCCCCGUGCGGCGCGAGGGCGCCGGCGGGGAUCCACAGGCGCCGAGGCUGCCCCCAAGGCCCCAUUCACGGCGGCGGACCUAGCCAACAGCAAUGCCGGCGCCGCUGUGGGCAGGAAGGCCGGGCAGCGCAGCCUGCACAGCGCCCCCGCGCCCGCGCCUCCCACACUCUGCAACAACCACCUGGAGAGCCCGGAAUGGCGGUGCUGCAGCCCCACGCUGCGCGAGAGGAACGCGCUCAUAAAAAACAACGAGCUCAUGGCCGAUGUGCACUUUGUCUUGGAGCCCCCGGGGGCGACCAGGACGGUGCCCGCCCACAAGUACGUCCUGGCUGUCGCAGCUCCGUCUUCUAUACCAUGUUCUACGGGGACCUGGCGGAAGUCAAAUCUGAAAUUCACAUUCCAGACGUGCAGCCCGUAGCCUUUCUGAUCCUCUUAAAGUACAUGUACAGUGAUGAGAUCGAUCUGGAAGCUGACAUGGUGCUGGCCACUCUGUACGCUGCUAAGAAGUACAUCGUCCCAGCAUUGGCAAAAGCCUGCAUCAACUUUCUGGAGACAAGUCUGAAAGCCAAGAACGCCUGCGUCCUGCUGUCCCAGAGCCGGCUGUUUGAGGAGCCCGAGCUGACGCAGCGCUGCUGGGAGUUCAUCGACGCACAGGCCGAGAUGGUCUUGCGGUCCGAAGGCUUUUGUGAGAUAGACCGGCAGACAUUGGAGAUCAUUAUCACUCGGGAGGCCUUCAACACCAAGGAGGAGGUGGUCUUCGAGGCCCUCCUGAACUGGGCCGAGGCAGAGUGCAAGAGGCAGGGGCUGCCAGUCACCCCAGGAAACAAGAGGCACGUUUUGGGGCGAGCCCUCUAGCUGGUCCGAAUUCCAACCAUGACCCUAGAGGAAUUUGCCAAGGGCGCUGCGCAAGCAGACAUCCUGACUCUGGAGGAGACCCACGCCAUCUUCCUGUGGUACACGGCCACCAACAAGCCCCGCCUGGACUUCCCCCUGACCAAGAGGAAGGGCCUCUCCCCGCAGAGGUGCCACCGAUUCCAGUCUUCUGUUUACCGCAGCAACCAAUGGCAGUACCGCGGGCACUGUGACAGCAUCCAGUUUGCAGUGGACAGAAGGGUAUUUAUUGCGGGGCUGAGCCUGUAUGGGUCCAGCUCUGGGAAGGCUGAGUACAGCGUGAAGAUUGAGCUCAAGCGGCUCGGGAUGGUUCUGGCUCAGAACCUGACCAAGUUCAUGUCGGACGGAUCCGGUAACACCUUCCCGGUCUGGUUUGAACACCCGGUCCAGGUUGAACAAGACAUCUGCUACACCACCAGUGCUGUCCUGGAUGGCAGCAACCUCAGCUACUUUGGGCAGGAGGGGAUGACGGAAGUGCAGUGCGGAAAGGUGGCCUUCCAGUUCCAGUGCUCCUGGGACAGCACCAACGGGACUGGGGUCCAGGGUGGGCAGAUCCCUGAGCUCAUCUUCUGUGCCUGAGGUGCCCAGGGAGGCUGCAGCAGGUCGGCCAGUGAGUGGAGGGGAAGUCAGGACACUAACUGCUUCUUGACACCAUGAAAGGCCACAUUUAACCUUGUCUGUCUUUGGCAUGUAGUCAACUGAAGCUUGAUUCUGUGAAGUAGGCACCUUUUCCACACAGCCAGAGCUGGAGGAUUGGAGUCUUAGGCAUCUCUGGUACACUGGGGUACAUGUCUCAGGUGGAGGAAGAUUUAGGGCACAACACAGGCCCCAGAUCCCCUCCCAGUGGCACCCAUGCCACCUGCUUUGAGGGGUUGGAUGUUCCUGCCACGCUCUUGGAUACUAAGUGGUUCCAAGCUUCACUUUAGACCUUCCUUACACAUUUAAAAUUGGCAAAAAGUCACUUAAAAUAAUGGACUUCUGUAAUAAAGCUUGCCAAAAAU